Molecule: small nucleolar RNA, 106 nt
Organism: Malania oleifera
Lineage: Eukaryota; Viridiplantae; Streptophyta; Magnoliopsida; Santalales; Ximeniaceae
Source: RefSeq, a predicted model, not a curated record
ACUUGAUGGUGAGGGCAUUUACACAAGAGGUCCCUAAAGCGUUCCUAUGCCUUGAAAAAUUGUUCCUCAUCUAUCUAUGAGAAACUAGUGAUUGCCUUCCUCAGCU